AGUGAACGCUGGCGGCAGGCCUAAUACAUGCAAGUCGAACGGCAGCACAGCAGAGCUUGCUCUGUGGGUGGCGAGUGGCGGACGGGUGAGGAAUACGUGGGAAUCUGCCCAGUCGUGGGGGAUAACGUAGGGAAACUUACGCUAAUACCGCAUGCGCCCUUCGGGGGAAAGCCGGGGGACCUUCGGGCCUGGCGCGAUUGGAUGAGCCCACGUCGGAUUAGCUAGUUGGCGGGGUAAAGGCCCACCAAGGCGACGAUCCGUAGCUGGUCUGAGAGGAUGAUCAGCCACACUGGAACUGAGACACGGUCCAGACUCCUACGGGAGGCAGCAGUAGGGAAUAUUGGACAAUGGGCGCAAGCCUGAUCCAGCCAUGCCGCGUGAGUGAAGAAGGCCCUCGGGUUGUAAAGCUCUUUGUCCGGAAAGAAAGCGCCGGGUUAAUACCC
Molecule: ribosomal RNA, 443 nt
Filed under: uncultured bacterium
Lineage: Bacteria
Description: bacterial SSU rRNA
Rfam family: Bacterial small subunit ribosomal RNA
Source: RNAcentral